GCGGGCGUGAUGGAAUUGGUAGACAUAUGGCACUUAAAAUGCCUGGGCCGACAGGCCGUGCCGGUUCGAGUCCGGCCGCCCGCACCA
This 87-nucleotide transfer RNA is filed under the name Halovulum marinum. RNAcentral describes it as "Rhodobacteraceae bacterium 2CG4 tRNA-Leu". It matches the Rfam family "tRNA". From Rfam's summary of the family: Transfer RNA (tRNA) molecules are approximately 80 nucleotides in length. Their secondary structure includes four short double-helical elements and three loops (D, anti-codon, and T loops). The record is from RNAcentral. Lineage: Bacteria; Pseudomonadati; Pseudomonadota; Alphaproteobacteria; Rhodobacterales; Paracoccaceae.